This 450-nucleotide ribosomal RNA is filed under the name uncultured bacterium. RNAcentral describes it as "partial 16S ribosomal RNA". It matches the Rfam family "Bacterial small subunit ribosomal RNA", at positions 354 to 796 of the family's 1533-position model. The record is from RNAcentral.
GUGGGGAAUCUUCCACAAUGGACGAAAGUCUGAUGGAGCAACGCCGCGUGAGUGAAGAAGGGUUUCGGCUCGUAAAGCUCUGUUGUCGGGGACGAAUGUGCAGUAUUUGAAUAAAGUACUGCAAUGACGGUACCUGACGAGGAAGCCACGGCUAACUACGUGCCAGCAGCCGCGGUAAUACGUAGGUGGCAAGCGUUGUCCGGAAUUAUUGGGCGUAAAGGGAGCGCAGGCGGGAAGGUAAGUCGGUCUUAAAAGUGCGGGGCUCAACCCCGUGAUGGGAUCGAAACUAUCUUUCUUGAGUGCAGGAGAGGAAAGUGGAAUUCCUAGUGUAGCGGUGAAAUGCGUAGAUAUUAGGAGGAACACCAGUGGCGAAGGCGGCUUACUGGACUGUAACUGACGUUGAGGCUCGAAAGCGUGGGGAGCAAACAGGAUUAGAAACCCCGGUAGUCC